Long non-coding RNA from Sinocyclocheilus anshuiensis, 354 nucleotides. RefSeq lists it as uncharacterized. The record is from RefSeq and is a predicted model, not a curated record. NCBI's taxonomy places the organism in Eukaryota, Metazoa, Chordata, Actinopteri, Cypriniformes, Cyprinidae. The transcript is spliced from 4 exons.
GGAAAGUCGAAGGACACGUAUUGGUAAACCACCUCAGAUGAUAUUAGUUUUGCCACUGUGUACAAAUAGCAAACAGGUGUGACGUGCUUGCGGCGGCCGCACUCGCGCAUGGCUUGGAGGAUGGAGAAUCUUUAACACGUAUUUCAUAUGGUUGUAUGGAACGCCGUGGAGCUAUAAUGGCUGGGCUGUUGGAGAACCCAAUAAUGCUGCUGGGCAGGAGAACUGUGUAGAGACGUGGUAUAAUCUGGCAUUCAAUGAUGCACCAUGCACAAGACCCAAACCGUUCAUCUGUUCCUGUCCACUUUAGACAGCCAGAAGGUUAACCUAACCUGCUAUUCAGUAACUUUUAUGAAA